Molecule: ribosomal RNA, 466 nt
Filed under: uncultured bacterium
Lineage: Bacteria
Description: partial 16S ribosomal RNA
Rfam family: Bacterial small subunit ribosomal RNA
Source: RNAcentral
GAUGAACGCUGGCGGCGUGCUUAACACAUGCAAGUCGAACGAUGAAGCUCUGCUGUCUGUGUGUAUUAGUUGCGAACGGGUUAGUAACACGUGAGUAACCUGCUCUUUACUCUGGGUUAAGCCUGGGAAACUCGGUCUAAUACCGUAUAUAAUCGCCUACAGCAUUGUGUGUGUUGGGAAGAUUUAUCGGAUUUUGAUGUACCCGCGGCAUAUCAGCUUGUUGGUGAGGUUAUGCCUCACAAAGGCGACGACGGGUAGCUGGCCUGCGAGGGUGACCGGCCACAGUGGGACUGAGAAACGAGCCAGAGUCAUACGGGAGGAAGCAGUGAGAAAUAUUGCAAAAUGGGCGAAAGCCGGAUGCAGCGACGCCGCGUGAGAGAUGACUGCCUUAGGGUUGUAAACCUCUUUCAGUAGGGAAGAAGCGAAAGUGACGGUACCUGAAGAAGAAGCACCGGCUAACUACGUG